CAGGGUCGGGGGCGACGCGAGGUGGGGAAGGUGCAGGUCAGCAGAUGACGUCAUGUUAGGAGGGAGAGAGAGAGCCGCCGCAGGUCCGGCUGGGCUCGAGGAUGGGGAAGAAGAGGCCGUCGCCAUAGGACCAGCUGAGUGGAACUCUGAGGCCGAGUAGAUCUCGAGCAAGAAGUUGUCCUUGUUGUCGGAGGGGACAAACUUCGCCCAGCGCAACGCCUUGGACCGGCCUGGCGACGGGAAGAAAAGGGGGGUUGUACAACUGAAAACUAAUGGGCAAAAUAUACCCCUUCCGUCCUAAAAUAUAAAGGAUUUCAGUCUGUUCC
RNAcentral lists this long non-coding RNA (326 nucleotides) under Panicum hallii. RNAcentral describes it as "long non-coding RNA (PHAL_LNC000381)". The record is from RNAcentral. Lineage: Eukaryota; Viridiplantae; Streptophyta; Magnoliopsida; Poales; Poaceae.